This 403-nucleotide ribosomal RNA is filed under the name bacterium. RNAcentral describes it as "partial 16S ribosomal RNA". It matches the Rfam family "Bacterial small subunit ribosomal RNA", at positions 355 to 776 of the family's 1533-position model. The record is from RNAcentral.
UGGGGAAUAUUGCACAAUGGAGGGAACUCUGAUGCAGCGACGCCGCGUGAACGAAGAAGGCUUUCGAGUCGUAAAGUUCUUUUAUAUGGGAAGAUAAUGACGGUACCAUAAGAAGAAGCCCCGGCUAACUACUUGCCAGCAGCCGCGGUAAUACGUAGGGGGCUAGCGUUGUCCGGAAUCACUGGGCGUAAAGGGUUCGCAGGCGGAAAUGCAAGUCAGGUGUAAAAGGCAGUAGCUUAACUACUGUAAGCAUUUGAAACUGCAUAUCUUGAGAAGAGUAGAGGUAAGUGGAAUUUUUAGUGUAGCGGUGAAAUGCGUAGAUAUUAAAAAGAAUACCGGUGGCGAAGGCGACUUACUGGGCUCAUUCUGACGCUGAGGAACGAAAGCGUGGGUAGCAAACAGG